AGAGUUUGAUCCUGGCUCAGGAUGAACGCUAGCGGCAGGCAUAACACAUGCAAGUCGAGGGGCAGCGGGGAGCAGCAAUGCUCUGCCGGCGACCGGCGAAAGGGUGAGUAACGCGUGAGCGACAUGCCCGUAUCUGGGGGAAAGGCGCUGGAAACGGCGUGUAAUACCGCAUAACAUUUCGCGUCGCAUGGCGUGGAAUUGAAAGCUUGGGCGGAUACGGAUUGGCUCGCGUCCGAUUAGGCAGACGGCGGGGUAACGGCCCACCAUGCCGACGAUCGGUAGGGGUUCUGAGAGGGAGGUCCCCCACAUUGGAACUGAGACACGGUCCAGACUCCUACGGGAGGCAGCAGUGAGGAAUAUUGGACAAUGGCCGGAAGGCUGAUCCAGCCAUGCCGCGUGAGGGAAUGAGGUCCUAUGGAUUGUAAACCUCUUUUCACGCAGGGCAAUAAGGUCCACGAGGUGGACCGACGAGAGUAUGCGUGGAAUAAGCAUCGGCUAACUCCGUGCCAGCAGCCGCGGUAAUACGGAGGAUGCGAGCGUUGUCCGGAUUUAUUGGGUUUAAAGGGUGCGUAGGCGGUCGUGCAAGUUGGAGGUGAAAUGCCGGCGCUCAACGUCGGGGGUGCCUCCAAUACUGUGUGGCUGGAAUGGCGAUGCCGCGGGAGGAAUGAGUGGUGUAGCGGUGAAAUGCAUAGAGAUCACUCAGAACGCCGAUUGCGAAGGCAUCUCGCGAAUCGUCUAUUGACGCUGAGGCACGAGGGCGUGGGGAGCGAACAGGAUUAGAUACCCUGGUAGUCCACGCGGUAAACGAUGAUGACUGGUUGUUGGCGCGUUGGGGCGUCAGUGGCCGAGAGAAAUCGGUAAGUCAUCCACCUGGGGAGUACGGCCGCAAGGCUGAAACUCAAAGGAAUUGACGGGGGCCCGCACAAGCGGAGGAACAUGUGGUUUAAUUCGAUGAUACGCGAGGAACCUUACCCGGGCUCGAACGGUGCAGGAAGGAGCGGGAGACCGCGCCGCCCUACGGGGUCUGCAUCGAGGUGCUGCAUGGUUGUCGUCAGCUCGUGCCGUGAGGUGUCGGCUCAAGUGCCAUAACGAGCGCAACCCUUGCCGUCAGUUGCCAGCGGGUGAAGCCGGGGACUCUGAUGGGACUGCCGCCGCAAGGUGAGAGGAAGGUGGGGAUGACGUCAAAUCAGCACGGCCCUUACGUCCGGGGCGACACACGUGUUACAAUGGGGGCUACAGAGGGGGGACCGGGCCGGCGACGGCGAGGGAAUCCCGGAAAGGCCCUCUCAGUUCGGAUCGGAGUCUGCAACCCGACUCCGUGAAGCUGGAUUCGCUAGUAAUCGCGCAUCAGCCAUGGCGCGGUGAAUACGUUCCCGGGCCUUGCACACACCGCCCGUCAAG
Molecule: ribosomal RNA, 1401 nt
Filed under: uncultured bacterium
Lineage: Bacteria
Description: bacterial SSU rRNA
Rfam family: Bacterial small subunit ribosomal RNA
Source: RNAcentral